GGGUAGCAUACCGCUGACGACCGGCGCACGGGUGAGUAACACGUAUCCAACCUACCCUUUACUCGGGGAUAGCCUUUCGAAAGAAAGAUUAAUACCCGCUAGUAUAAAGAGUUCGCAUGUUCUCUUUAUUAAAGGAUUCCGGUAAUCGAUGGGGAUGCGUUCCAUUAGAUAGUUGGUGAGGUAACGGCUCACCAAGUCUUCGAUGGAUAGGGGUUCUGAGAGGAAGGUCCCCCACAUUGGAACUGAGACACGGUCCAAACUCCUACGGGAGGCAGCAGUGAGGAAUAUUGGUCAAUGGGCGCUAGCCUGAACCAGCCAAGUAGCGUGAAGGAUGACUGCCCUAUGUGUUGUAAACUUCUUUUAUAAGGGAAUAAAAUGGGGAACGUGUUCCCCUUUGCAUGUACCUUACGAAUAAGGAUCGGCUAACUCCGUGCCAGCAGCCGUGGUAAUACGGAGGAUCCAAGCGUUAUCCGGAUUUAUUGGGUUUAAAGGGUGCGUAGGCGGAAUGAUCAGUCAGUUGUGAAAGUUUAAGGCUCAACCUUAAAAUUGCAAUUGAUACUGUCAUUCUUGAGUGUACAAGAGGUGGGCGGAAUUCGUGGUGUAGCGGUGAAAUGCUUAGAUAUCACGAAGAACUCCGAUUG
RNAcentral lists this ribosomal RNA (641 nucleotides) under uncultured Bacteroidales bacterium. Its description in RNAcentral is "bacterial SSU rRNA". It matches the Rfam family "Bacterial small subunit ribosomal RNA", at positions 74 to 715 of the family's 1533-position model. Lineage: Bacteria; Pseudomonadati; Bacteroidota; Bacteroidia; Bacteroidales. The record is from RNAcentral.